GUGUCCUGUGAGAUUGGCAGUACUCACACAACAGUCUUGAGACUCGCCAGGGAGUCGCCGUUGUGGAGCUUGCGUUGUUGUGGAAUGCUGAGGUUUUCAAAAUGAUUUAUUGUAAGUAUUAGGGCUAUUUAUUAGGGCUAUUUAUAAUACACUUAUAAUUAGCGUCGUUGCGGUAGCCUUAUGUUGUAUCAGAGACGGUCGCUGAGGGUUCAUUUUAAACCACUCGGUCACUGUUUGUUUGGCCCUUUGUUUCCCCUGCGUUGUGUUUUGAUUGAGUCUCAUGGUUCUCAUGUGUUCGUCUCACUGCUAGAUCUGAACGCGUGAGAACCAACCAGACUCAAUCAAAACACAAUGCAGCCAAAACAAAAAAGGGGGUGGGCCUAAGUAGCUGACUGCAAUUUAAAUAAUCUCGCUAAAUUAAUAUUUCCUCUACGAACAAUGUAACAUGCGCUGCAGUGUUUCACGUGAACUAUAGUGUUUCACAUGAGCGACAGUGUUUGACGAGAGCAGAAGGAGGUGAGGGCUGUGGAGAGUCCCCAUGCCUUGUCCGUGGGGGCCCAGGGUUUCCACGCCACCCCGUCACAGCUGAGCAGCUGACUGGUGCUGUGGUUGAAGUGGAGCACGCCCCUGAGCUCUGGGACACACGCUCUGCCCACCGGCCGGACCCCGGGCACCUGAGGACAAGGAUGGAGCAGUUGCACAGACCUUGACGGUGACGUACGAGGACUCUGCGAGGUUCCCCUUGCGCGUGACCUCCAGGGAGACGGUGCCUUGGUCCUCACACGCCGAGUACUGGGACCGGGACAGCUCCACGCUGGACCACUGCAGCUCCAGCCUGGGGAACACACAGGAAGGGACACACAGGUUUGUCUCAAGUAAACCCUGGGAGACGCCCAUCGUGUUAAAAUAACGCUCACGUCGUCAGCACGCCGACUCACGUGUGGGCGGCUCCGACGUUCCCCAGAGGGUCGGACACCUUGAACUCCAGGCUGUCGGACAGAGACCCCACGGCGGGGUUGAUCACGUACACGAUGGACCUGCGGUUCAGGUCCGUCUGGGAGAAGCAGUGCUCCACGAAAUCACCUGGAGGCGAGGUAGCCAAAGUAGAGCGGGCGGACCACGCAGAAGCGGAUCUCCUCGUCCCGGGACUGGCCGUCCUGCGCCCGCAGCUCCCUGGACGACAGGAAGAUCCCGGAGCGGCCGUCGGCCAGCGCCUCCGCCUUCCACAGGGGCAGCAGCGUCACCACCUCGGGGGCCGCGCUGUCCAGGGGCAGGACCUGAGGGGAACCAACAUGACCUUAAAGGGGUGACAGUAGACCGCCGGCUUAUAGUGUCACCCCUUUAAGAUGUUUGGGGGACGCUUUUAUCCAACGUGACGAGUGAGUCUGGGAAUGCCUUUGGUCAAAGUUCAAAUGUUGUGCAACCAGGUUUAAAUGCAACAACUGCACAGAGUGCUGAUGGGCCAUAGGCAUCAGGAAAAGGGGUAGAAAUGUAUUAUCUUUUUUAUUAAACUUUGCAAAAUGUGUCACUGCCUCAACAAAACUACCUUGUUCGCUCAAAAAUAUGCAUUUUAUACGUGUAGGGGACCGACAUGGACCUUUGAAGCUGAGUUAUUCUCAUAAAAAAUCUAUUGCUAGAGCUACGAAAGGACCUGUGUCUAUUCUCUAGUCCUCUGAGAAAGGACCCUGGUCUCCAACAAAACCUUCAAAAACCUCAAAAAGAGAAGCGACAUCAGGAGUCAGGACAACCUCGUAACGAUGAGCACCUCCACCUCCUCCCUCCACCUCCUGACCACGCGUCAGCUGAUCAGCCACAACGGGGUGCCCAGAUUUCUGCCUGAACCCCACCUGAACGACGAACCCCACCUGAACGGUUAACCCCACCUGAACGACCAACCCCACCUGAACAACGAACGCCACGGGCUCCGUCUGCAGCCGCCCCUCCACCAGGAAGCCCCGCCCUGAGGUGUCGGCGGCGGUGAAGGUGAAGCGGUCGAUCAGGGCCGGGCCCCCGUCGUGGCCGUACGUCAGCCCCA
This is a long non-coding RNA of Gadus chalcogrammus (walleye pollock), 2035 nucleotides long. RefSeq lists it as uncharacterized. The record is from RefSeq and is a predicted model, not a curated record. The transcript is spliced from 4 exons. Lineage: Eukaryota; Metazoa; Chordata; Actinopteri; Gadiformes; Gadidae.